AGAGGGAAGGCGGGAGACAGCGGGCAGCGCCAGAGGAGGAGGACGCGGGAAGAUGGAGCUGCCCACGGCCUGCAGUCCGUGCCUCUCUGCCCGCGCGGGGACCACACAGUUGGAGAGGCUGCCGGGCACCGGCGCGGGCGAUGCUCAGCAUGGACCUCCGGCCGGCCAGCCUGGGCUUGUUUUCCCGGUAGUACUGGGUUCUGAGAGAGAGUAACUGCAUGGAAGGCCUUGAAGACUGGGCUUGGGCCUGCUGUACCCACAUGACUGCUUCUGCCACGUUCUACUGGCCAAGCUCUAUGGGCAGCUCAGACACAAGGGAAGAGACUCUGCUGCUUCCUGGGAGAAGCUGCAAGACCACAUUGCGAAGGAACAUGUUGUUGCUGCUCCCAUGUUACCUUCGUCAGUGACCUGAGAUGCAGACUGGAUCUAGGGAAUGGUGUUUCCUGUGUGAUGCCUUCCAGGAGUAUCUGCACCACGGGCAGUGCCAGGCCGAGGACAGAGGGCCUAAUGGAGGACACUCUACAACUCCAUCCUGCUGCUGGGGGGGCUUGGGGGCGCCUCCACGAGGGUCUUCAGAGGAAAGGCAUGUGUGUGGUCUGUGGCCUGCCAGCAGGAGAGCUGGGGGAGGCCGGCAUCUUGAGGCUGUUGGCAGCAAGUGCAGGCAGAGGCCUCGGGCCAGAGGGGAGGUGGCAGGGCUCAGGUGCCCUGUGCUUCCUCGGAGAAGGCACUUGGGAUGAAGGCUUAGUCCUGCCUGGUAAACCUGGAGGCCUGUGAACACUGGGGUUAGCCCCAACAAGGGAGGAGGUUCCCGCUGCCUCACUAAGAACAGCCUGCUGCUACACUCACCCUGACAGCUGCUCCGCUCCCAGUGAACCCCACCCCGAGAAGGCUCAUCGGGGCCACGGACCUCCCUCAGCGCUGCAUUCAGAAUCCCUCAGGAGUUGUAAACUUCCUGAUUUCUGGACCCAUCACCAGAGCCCAACGUCACGGGUAAGGGUUAGGGCCUGGAUGUCAGGAUUCAAUUUGGAGAAUUCCCCGGGGCAAUUCCACCAUUGCAGACACUGAAACGGAGCUGGGGCAGAAGAAUCACACCAGGUGGCUCGAGCUGAGCGGCUGGGAGUGUGGCAGUGAAGACACUGAGUGUCCGUCAGGGAAGAUGGCUCUGGGUACAACAGCGUGCCCAGCCCCUUAGAUAUUCUCUGCACGGAAGUGGCCCCACCCUGAAGCGCGUGUGCAGUGACUGUUCAUGCUUCUGUGUGUGUGCAGGAGUAGUUUGGUUGGAGUGUGCAUAUGCGAAUGUGUGUGUAUGGAAGUCUAUCUAUCUGUAAUGUAAAGCAGUUGCGUAAUGCAAAUGUGUGUGUAUGGACAUCUAUCUGUAAUGCAAAGCAGUUGCGUAAUGCAAAUGUGUGUGUAUGGAUGUCUAUCUAUCUGUAAUGUAAAGUUCCCAAGUAUUGUGUAUAUCAUUGUUUGAGUUUUUAAAUUCUAAGAUAAUUUCUAGAGAAAAAGAUGUACGGGUGAUUCCUGGUGAAAAGCAGGGACCGUGGGCCUCAUAUUGAGACACAUUUCACGCUGUUUAGAUUGUAAUGGCAAUUAUGUAUGACUUUUGUACGUUUUUUAAAAAGCCAAUAAAAUA
Molecule: long non-coding RNA, 1633 nt
Filed under: Homo sapiens (human)
Lineage: Eukaryota; Metazoa; Chordata; Mammalia; Primates; Hominidae
Description: HSALNT0324881
Source: RNAcentral